Long non-coding RNA from Ctenopharyngodon idella (grass carp), 1777 nucleotides. RefSeq lists it as uncharacterized. The transcript has 4 exons. NCBI's taxonomy places the organism in Eukaryota, Metazoa, Chordata, Actinopteri, Cypriniformes, Xenocyprididae. The record is from RefSeq and is a predicted model, not a curated record.
ACAACACGAUUCACGGCGUUCUGAAAUCCUUCUACCGUUGUUUUUAUCUGUCAGUUUCUAGUCUUGACCAAUUCAUUAAUUUGUCAAUUUAGCGUUUUAUUAUAAGUUGAAUGUAUGUGUUUGACUGUAUUUGGCAAAAUGAUGAAUGUGAUACUUAUUUAGGAAUCAAUUCAUAAUGAUGACGUGAAUGUUUUGAAUCUGAAGCACGGAAAGUGUACUCUUUAGUAUGCAGUUCACGCGCGCGCAUGCUGAGAGCGCGUGGAUGUGGAGGAAUCUCUGGAAAAAACAUGCUAGUAAUUUCAAUAGGGGAAACGGAUGAAAAAUAUUCAGUAAAAACGAGUUUACUGGAAGUCACCUUACAGUAUAAGUUUCAUACCGACUUUGAGUGAUGUGGUCUUCCAUUAUACCACCAGCUUUAUCAUCAGUACAUUUUACAGCAACAAACAGUUCAAAUUGAUGGAGUGAUUUGUGUUCCAUUCAUCAAUCAGCACGUCACAGCAGGAGGAUGAUGGGUGUCGGACUAUACCACUCCUUUUCUUCCUCCUUGACCUUACACACUAAACACAUCUAUUACUUAAAAUCAGUGCGCUUGUGUGCUUCUAUCAGAGAGGAGGACAGAGCAACAUUAUUCUGCGAACGAUGUCUGGAAUAAGAUGGGCCUUGGCUUGUUUGAUUUUGUGCUGCGACUAUCAAACUCUUUAAAAGAUUUAAACCUCACUCAUCCCUCCCAAAUCCCACCUCACACUACUCAGUGUGGAAUAACGGUGUUGUUCAAAUAUGAUGUGAGAACAAUGAGAUUGAAGUCAAAGUUUACUGACACUAAGCCGGACCAAUUCUCUGUUAAAUGGGCUAUUACACACACAACAGCCAGCGAGUGUUUGACCGGGUAAGACUUCAUUACAGAUUUCAUUCUCGCCCAAGGUGUAGGAUCUGUAUAGCUGUCAUUGAUUGCAUGAAUGUGCGGGUUAAUUGGCUUUUGGAGUGGGUUCUCUGUGAUUUCGCUCGGCAUAAGUGAGAUGUUGAUGAAUAGCGAAUCCUCUUUUGGACGCAUGCUGGCGUAGGCAUGAGUGUUAAGGUGAGAGUGUGGGUGAUCUUCAUGCUCAAUAUGACUGUUGCACCAUUGUGAUUCUUACAGAGAGACCCUGAACACUCAACAAUUAGCUGAAUUAGUUUGAAUCAAUAAUGAAUGUAACCAAUGAUUAACAUUUAGCUCAAGGUCAUCUGCCAUCUCACAAACAUGCCGUGUUACUUUUAAAAAAAGAUGGUAAGUUUUUAUACAAGAUAAUUUGACACUUUCCCUUUCAAGUGGUCUUCAUUAUUUGAAAGGCUUGAGUUUCUGGCUGUAAAUUUAAGAAUGUAACUGGGUUAUUCCUACACUUUGGUGGAUUUGGGAGUGAGCAGGUUUGUUGAAAAAAGUUACAAUUACUAUCAUGUUUUAGUCUUAUCAUCAGUGUCUGUCUUUUAGAAAAACUGGUCAAGCUCAGGCUAUAUAACCUAAGAAUCCUUAUAUUCCACGUGUUCUUGGAAAUUUGUCCACCCUGUUACAUUACAUUUUUUACAAUGUAAAAGGUUGUAAGCUAAUGAAGCCCAUUACUAGCUAGGAAAGAACAACAUAAUUAAAAAGUUAGUUAACCCAAAAAUGAAAUUUCAGUCAUUAAUUACUCACCCUCAUGUUGUUCCAAACCCGUAAGACCUUCGUUCAUCUUCAGAACACAAAUUAAGAUAUUUUUGAUGAAAUCCGAGAGGUUUUUUAUCUCCCAUAAAAAGCAACGAAAUU